CCCUUAGAUGUUCUGGGCCGCACGCGCGCUACACUGAUGCGUUCAACGAGUAUACAACCUUGAUCGAUAGGUCUGGGUAAUCUUGUGAAUGCGCAUCGUGCUAGGGAUAGAUUGUUGCAAUUUUCAAUCUUGAACGAGGAAUUCCUAGUAAACGCAAGUCAUCAGCUUGCAUUGAUUACGUCCCUGCCCUUUGUACACACCGCCCGUCGCACCUACCGAUUGAAUGGUUUAGUGAGAUCUUCGGAUUGGCCACCUUGGUGCCUUCGCGGGUCCAUGGCGUGCCGAAAAGUUGUUCAAACUUGAUCAUUUAGAGGAAGUAAAAGUCGUAACA
Molecule: ribosomal RNA, 331 nt
Filed under: uncultured eukaryote
Lineage: Eukaryota
Description: partial 18S ribosomal RNA
Rfam family: Eukaryotic small subunit ribosomal RNA
Source: RNAcentral